Molecule: unclassified non-coding RNA, 345 nt
Filed under: soil metagenome
Description: partial contains 5.8S ribosomal RNA, internal transcribed spacer 2, and large subunit ribosomal RNA
Rfam family: 5.8S ribosomal RNA (bases 1-121)
Source: RNAcentral
GAUUAAGAACGUAGCGAAAUGCGAUAAGUAAUGCGAAUUGCAGAAUUUCCGUGAGUCAUCGAAUCUUUGAACGCACAUUGCGCCCACUGGUAUUCCGGUGGGCAUGCCUGUUCGAGCGUCAUUAUCCUCCCUCAAACCCCGGGUUUGGUGUUGGACCCAAGUUGUGUGAACAACUGGUCUUAAAGACAAUGACGGCGUCCGUGGGACCCUCGGUGCAACGAGCUUUUAGGAGCACGCAUCGAGUUGCAAGGACCUUCCGGGCCGGUCUCCUUUACUAUUUUACAAGGUUGACCUCGGAUCAGGUAGGAAUACCCGCUGAACUUAAGCAUAUCAAUAAGCGGAGGA